RNAcentral lists this ribosomal RNA (478 nucleotides) under uncultured bacterium. RNAcentral describes it as "partial 16S ribosomal RNA". It matches the Rfam family "Bacterial small subunit ribosomal RNA", at positions 28 to 507 of the family's 1533-position model. The record is from RNAcentral.
GAUUAACGCUGGCGGCGUGCAUAACACAUGCAAGUCGAACGAUGAAACUCAUUAGAUUUCUUCGGAAUGAAAAUGAAUGGAUUAGUGGCGAACGGGUGAGUAACGCGUGAGUAACCUGCCUUACACAAGGGGAUAGCCUCUGGAAACGGAGAAUAAUACCCUAUGAAACCAGACAAUCGCAUGAUAAUCUGGUCAAAAUGUUUAGUGGUGUAAGAUGGACUUGCGUCUGAUUAGCUAGUUGGUGAGAUAAAAGCUCACCAAGGCAACGAUCAGUAGCCGGCUUGAGAGAGUGUACGGCAACAUUGGGACUGAGACACGGCCCAGACUCCUACGGGAGGCAGCAGUGGGGAAUUUUGUACAAUGGGGGAAACCCUGAUGCAGCGACGCCGCGAGAUUUAGAAGGCCUUCGGGUUGUAAAAAUCUUUUGUAUAGGAAGAAAAUGACAGUACUAUACGAAUAAGGUCCGGCUAAUUACGUG